GCAAGUCGAGCGGAUGACAGGGAGCUUGCUCCUGGAUUCAGCGGCGGACGGGUGAGUAAUGCCUAGGAAUCUGCCUGGUAGUGGGGGACAACGUUUCGAAAGGAACGCUAAUACCGCAUACGUCCUACGGGAGAAAGCAGGGGACCUUCGGGCCUUGCGCUAUCAGAUGAGCCUAGGUCGGAUUAGCUUGUUGGUGAGGUAAUGGCUCACCAAGGCGACGAUCCGUAACUGGUCUGAGAGGAUGAUCAGUCACACUGGAACUGAGACACGGUCCAGACUCCUACGGGAGGCAGCAGUGGGGAAUAUUGGACAAUGGGCGAAAGCCUGAUCCAGCCAUGCCGCGUGUGUGAAGAAGGUCUUCGGAUUGUAAAGCACUUUAAGUUGGGAGGAAGGGUUGUAGAUUAAUACUCUGCAAUUUUGACGUUACCGACAGAAUAAGCACCGGCUAACUCUGUGCCAGCAGCCGCGGUAAUACAGAGGGUGCAAGCGUUAAUCGGAAUUACUGGGCGUAAAGCGCGCGUAGGUGGUUUGUUAAGUUGGAUGUGAAAGCCCCGGGCUCAACCUGGGAACUGCAUCCAAAACUGGCAAGCUAGAGUACGGUAGAGGGUGGUGGAAUUUCCUGUGUAGCGGUGAAAUGCGUAGAUAUAGGAAGGAACACCAGUGGCGAAGGCGACCACCUGGACUGAUACUG
RNAcentral lists this ribosomal RNA (691 nucleotides) under Pseudomonas parafulva. RNAcentral describes it as "bacterial SSU rRNA". It matches the Rfam family "Bacterial small subunit ribosomal RNA", at positions 57 to 742 of the family's 1533-position model. Lineage: Bacteria; Pseudomonadati; Pseudomonadota; Gammaproteobacteria; Pseudomonadales; Pseudomonadaceae. The record is from RNAcentral.